RNA transcript from Argentina anserina (silverweed cinquefoil), 3669 nucleotides. RefSeq lists it as uncharacterized. The record is from RefSeq and is a predicted model, not a curated record. The transcript is spliced from 7 exons. Lineage: Eukaryota; Viridiplantae; Streptophyta; Magnoliopsida; Rosales; Rosaceae.
CUCCCUUGUGUUUCCUUCUUCCUUCUUUCUUAGUCGUCUCCUUUGCUCCGACCUUGCAGUAGCUCAGCUAAUCCAACUAGUCCUUUGCUGGGUUUCCCAUAUCAGCUCCCACAAAUCAUUGCAACCCCUUUAUCCUCAGUAUUUCCCGUAAAAGGUGAGAGCUUUUACUUUGCUUCUGUCUUGUUUCCUUAUUGGCAAAGCUUGUAUUAUUUGUGUAUAUAUGUAGACACCAUUGACCUGUAUUUAGGAUGAGAUCAUAAGUCCACUGGCCGGUUGUGUAGAAUCUUGGAUUAUUUUAACUUCUACAUAAUUCUAAUCCAUCAUCAUCCACUGUUUCCAAUUAGAAUCGAAGCAUCUUGAAGCUUUUUAGUUAGUUUUCUGUGUUCUUCUGCUGGGCUAGCUUUUGUGAUUCUUAGUUGAGACUACCCACAAUUCUGUAUAAGCUUGAUCUCUUUGAGACUUUUAGGAAGGAUGGCUUGUGAGGAAGUUCAAUCUUGGAGCUUUGGUGGUCUUACAAGAGCAUUUCUUGAUCUUUUACUUGCUUAUAUCCUGCUAUGUGCAUCAGCUGUUGUGUUUUUUGCAUUGAAUUUGUUGAAGUUCUUAUGGGUGUAUUUGCCAUGUCCUUGUAAUGGAGUUUUCGGGUUUAGAAAUCGAGAUUUUUGCUUGCACAAAUUGCUUUAUGAGUGGCCUGCUGCAAAGAUUUGUGCUGUUCAGAAGUUGGUGAUGGGUAGGUUCCCUUUUGAUAUUCGGUUCAAGGAUCAAAGGUCCAACUUGAGUCAGAAGUUGAUUAGGGAUGUGAAUGGAGGGAAUGGUGUUCUUGAAUUGGGAGGCGAAUCAUGUUGCAGUCCAUUUUCGAGUCCAAGGUUGCAAAGUAUGGUUGAUAAGGAAAGUGGGUUUGAUGCUAAGGGGAAGAGAAUUGUGGUUUUUAAGAAAAGGACUGGUAUUCGGUGGCCUAGGAGGGACAGUUCAAAAUCUCCUCGUAUAUUCCCCUUGCCUCUUGAUGACAGGGAUACGAAACAGGUAUCUGGUGAAAGCUCAAUUGCUCUAGCUGCAAUACAGGAUGAGUCUCAAGUAACCAGAGAUGAUAUAGGGGAAAUAAUACAUGGAUCAGCUGUUGAGAGUAAAGGUCUAGAGGUAAAUUACCGUCAAGAAAAGAUUCCUAUUGUUGAAGAUGAAAGUGAUACAAUCAGGAUGUUACAAGGAGCUCUUCUAAAAGAGAAAGCUAUCACUGCUGCUCUCUAUUUAGAGCUGGAGAAAGAGCGGGCUGCUGCUGCGACUGCAGCUGAUGAAGCAAUGGCCAUGAUAUAUCGUUUGCAGAAGGAUAAAGCAUCAACAGAAAUGGAAGUGAGACAGUACCAAAGGAUGAUUGAAGAGAAAUUUGUUUAUGAUGAAGAAGAAAUGGAUGUUCUUAAAGAAAUACUUCUUAGGAGGGAGAAGGAGAACCACUUUCUGGAGAAGGAGGUUGAAGCAUAUAGACAGAUGAAUUCUCCAGGAAGUGAACAGCUUAAGGAUGAUUCAUAUGAUAAACUGUGUAAAUGGGGACAGACUGCUCUUGCUUCGAAUGUAGAUUCGCAAAAGAUGAUGCCAGGGACUAAUGAAACUAUAUCUGACCAUAUGGGAGUGGAAAGUAUUGCAGAAAAUACCUCUCAAUUUGAGGCUUCAUUUGUCGAGAAAAAAAUGCAUUUCAAUGGACAUGAUGUUGUUGAGAAAAGUGUCAUUUCAGCAUGGGAAGAAAAACUACAAACAGAUAAUGCAAUGUGCCCAGGAAUGAUUAAUGAAGCACUUCAACCUGAUAUUGGAAUCAAGAAACAAUUCUGUUGUGAUGGAGAAGAACGGCUGCAAGACGAGAAUAUUAAAGGCGGCUUUCAAAGUCAAAUACAUGAUACAGUGCCAAUGGUUUAUGAUGUUCAUGUCAUAGAAGGUAAAGCUGAAAUGUUGAAAGGAGGAAGUAGGCCAUCAAAUUAUGCUGCUUUGGAGGAACUCCGAGAUUCUUCUGGGGUCUCUAGCAGCUCAGAACCUCUGCUGAGCGUGGGAAAAGGCAAAACACCACUUUAAACUUUCAGAAGAGAUCAGAUAUCAGCGCUGCAAGAUUUUAAAGUAAAGAUAUCCAGUUGCUUAUUAACCUGUUUUAUCCUCCUAAGGUAUAUUUGAAGAAAGAUGUGGCCAAGUAUUUAACCCCCAGCUGUGUCACUGUGUGACCGUCUUAGGGCUGUGCGCCAUGUCCACUUUAUUUCCUUGAUGGCUGAAAGGGUAUUGUGCACAUAAACUUUGAUGUACUGUAGUUUUUUGUUUAGUGAAAUUGGCUUUCACAGUCAUGUUCUCUGUCGCCAACCUCUUCUUUCCUAGGAUAAGUUUGCAAUAGUAAAUGAUGGUCUUUGUAUGAACAGAAGUUGCAGAUGUACGUAACUAAUGACUUUUAGCCAGUUUUCUAUAAAGUAGGUAUGCACUUCUUUGUGUCUUUAUACGUCUUCUUCAUUGCUUCUGUAUAUCAGAUUUAAGAAGCUGGUUGGUCAUUUGAGUUCCUCGCACGAGAUUGAUUCUCUGUUUUUCUCUUUUAAGGCAAUCCAGCUAACUUACAGUAGACUUCAGAUUCGUGCUUAACCCCCAAUUAUUUGUUUCCUAGGAUUUUUCAUUGAUUAUUGAGACUGAAUAUUGCAUUCCACUGAUGAGGAAGAUGUGGUGCUCAACUGUUGCAGUUUUAUAUAUUAACAGAUACCCUUUGAUCCUGCAUAAUGCAUCUUAGUAAAGUUAAGUAGUGAUGCAUUAUUAGUGUCAGACUGUGAAAGUCACCAUUUCCCACCCAGUUCACUGGUAGAAGAGCACUAACUAACAGUCAAAUAUAAACAUAUAUAGCUAGGCCUCUAAGUUGGCUUGAUGGAACUACGUCUCACGUAAGCUAUACAAAGAGUACUUCUCAGUUCUCAGGGCAAGUACUAACUAAUAUACUCUUUUAACGUGCUAAUGAAAUCACAGAAGAAAAUUACUACUACUCUAGAUUAUCUUUUUCUCGUCUUGCAGCUAUGGUUCGGAGCUAAUCACAAUUCUACGAUUUUGUAGCUCGGGAGAUACGUGCAUAAAGCUGAUACGGUCUAUGUAAAUGUUCACUGUCAAGGAUAUUAUGAGUUUCGUUGGCAGGGUAUGCAAUUGAGAAAUCCCUGGUUAGAUGGUCCGGAGUAUAUCACACACGAGGUCUUGUUGUCUACAGAACAAGCAUCAUGGUACUAGGGAGAUUUGAAAGCAAGGGUUGAUGAGGUUAUGCAAGAAGCCACAUCUUUACCACAUUAUGAUGCUUAAUACCAUAAAUGGCCAGCAAGGGGAUCUUUGUCCAUGCUCCAAGGAGACAACAUAUCACUGAAAGUUUAUCAGUCGGUGCAAAUAUAGAUGCCUACCUUUUCUUUGCCAAUGCUCAACACAAUCUCACUGUUGUUGGACAGAUGGAUCCCUAUAUCAAACCCAUAUACAAAACCUACAUACUCGUAAGCCCUGGACAAACUAUGGAUGUUUUACUAGAAACAGAUUUGGUUAUUAGGGGCUAUUACAUGGCUGGGAGGCAUUUCUCUAGUGAGUAUGCUAAAGUUUCUGAAUUUGACCAUGUCAUUGUUACUGCAAUGUUGGAACACAGUGGAAAUUAUACAGUACUUAUCCAACAUCUCCCGUCUUUCCCCAGAA